RNAcentral lists this RNase P RNA (337 nucleotides) under bovine gut metagenome. Its description in RNAcentral is "Bacterial RNase P class A". It matches the Rfam family "Bacterial RNase P class A". Rfam says of the family: Ribonuclease P (RNase P) is a ubiquitous endoribonuclease, found in archaea, bacteria and eukarya as well as chloroplasts and mitochondria. Its best characterised activity is the generation of mature 5'-ends of tRNAs by cleaving the 5'-leader elements of precursor-tRNAs. The record is from RNAcentral.
AGCAGGCCAGACGGCCGCGGGCGGUAACGAAAGGACCCGUCUGAGGAAAGUCCGGGCUCCACAGGGCAAGGGUGCCGGGUAACACCCGGUGAAGGUGACUUCAAGGAAAGUGCAACAGAAAACAACCGCCCUCAGUUUUGAAGGUAAGGAUGAAAAGGCGAGGUAAGAGCUCACCGGCAUCACGGUGACGUGGUGGCCGUGUAAACCCCAUCCGGAGCAACACCGUUACGAGGCCGCAUUGCCUGCCCGGCAGGCCUCAGGUGGCUAGAGCCUGUCAGUAAUGCCAGGUCCAGAUAGAUGGCCGUCCAAAUGACAGAACCCGGCUUAUCGCCUGCUU